CGAGCCGGGCGGGCGGCCGCGUCAAGAUCACCGAUCUUGCCGAGGAACGUCCGGGCUCCACACAGCAGGGUGGUGGGUAACGCCCACCCGGGGUGACCCGCGGGACAGUGCCACAGAAAACAGACCGCCCGGCGCUUCGGCGCCGGGUAAGGGUGAAACGGUGGUGUAAGAGACCACCAGCGCCCGAGGUGACUCGGGCGGCUAGGUAAACCCCACCCGGAGCAAGGUCAAGAGGGGUCGUCGGUUGACGGCCCUGCGCGGACGUCCGAGGGCUGCUCGCCCGAGUCCGCGGGUAGACCGCACGAGGCCGGCGGCAACGCCGGCCCUAGAUGGAUGGCCGCCUCCCCGGCCGCCGCGAGGCGACCGAGAGACAGAACCCGGCGUACAGCCUGACUCGUCUG
Molecule: RNase P RNA, 401 nt
Filed under: Streptomyces sp. AcH 505
Lineage: Bacteria; Bacillati; Actinomycetota; Actinomycetes; Kitasatosporales; Streptomycetaceae
Description: bacterial RNase P
Rfam family: Bacterial RNase P class A
About the family: Ribonuclease P (RNase P) is a ubiquitous endoribonuclease, found in archaea, bacteria and eukarya as well as chloroplasts and mitochondria.
Source: RNAcentral